Aricia agestis (brown argus) is the source of this 1198-nucleotide long non-coding RNA. RefSeq lists it as uncharacterized. The transcript has 5 exons. The record is from RefSeq and is a predicted model, not a curated record. NCBI's taxonomy places the organism in Eukaryota, Metazoa, Arthropoda, Insecta, Lepidoptera, Lycaenidae.
UCUCGCGAUCGUUCAUGUAAGAGCGAGACAUAAGUUGUGACGAUAUAUCGCUAUCUCGCUCGUUUUGGUCCUUUGCUACGACAUCGUCACUACUCAGUUGCGCCGCGGCAGUGUCAGUGGGUGGUUGUGCGUGUUUUCGUCAAGACCGAAAUAUUUCGAAUUGAAACGUUGUUGAUGAUAAAGGUCAUGUAAUGAUGGAGUCCAGGGGUAGGAAGAUGCUAGCCUUAUUAGAACGGAAUAAAAUGAUACUGUGGGCACCAGCGAGGAACAAUGUACUUCGGCUGAUAGCAGUUCGAAAGGAGUUACCCAGACACCCAAAGAAAACAGCGAAGAAACAGAUGUAACAAGACCUUCAUUGAAUGAAACCGGCUACGGUAAUUCUACUCAAACUCAUGUCAGUAGCAGUUCUAGCAGUUCUAGAUAGCGACGACUCUAUCUGAAAGGACUCUAUCUAUAUAAGGAUCCAAUGUAUAUACCGCCCGAAAACCCAAGUCAAAACAACCACGAUGAGUUACCUGCCGACGAAGAAAACGAAAUGUUGUCUGUCUUUGAUAGCUCUAUACAAAAUUUGCAAUCGACCUCGGCUCCAAAUACGACUAAUACUUCUGCAAGGCCGUCUACUUCCAGAGAAGGGAGAAUCCCAACGAGCCCUGCUGUGAGUCCUGAAAAAAAGAGAGGAAGAAAACGCAAGCGUGAUGAAGCACAACGGAAGAAAAAUAUUGCCAAAAGAUUACGAAACACAGGAAAAGCUUAUCAGACUACAAAAAAGAAGAUCAGAGAGGAGAGAAAAAUUAAAGAACUUUGUGGAGAAAAAUGUAGACUGAAAUGUGGGUCUAAAUUCACGGAAGAAGAAAGAAAAACAUUGUUUGAAAACUUUUGGGCAUUGGGUGACAAUAAAAAAUAAUGGGAAUAUAUUUUAAGGAGCAUGACUGUUAUUACUCCAAAAUACCGAUACGUCCGCAAAGGUGGAACGAGAAAACCUCGUUAAAAAAAUAGUGCAUUCCAUCUGAAAUUACCCAACAAAACAAUAAGGGUGUACAAAAUGUUCUUUAAAAAUACCCUAUGCAUCAAUGAUCGUCCAAUUCGAACUGUUUUGGAGAAACAAGAUAAAGUUGCCAAUUGUUUGUUAGCUGAGGAUAAGCGCGGCAAACAUGACAACCACGCACACGUCGAUGAAGCCAUAAAAAAAGGAAUAAGG